This 459-nucleotide ribosomal RNA is filed under the name uncultured bacterium. RNAcentral describes it as "partial 16S ribosomal RNA". It matches the Rfam family "Bacterial small subunit ribosomal RNA", at positions 338 to 795 of the family's 1533-position model. The record is from RNAcentral.
ACUACGGGUGGCAGCAGUGAGGAAUAUUGGUCAAUGGCCGGAAGGCUGAACCAGCCAAGCCGCGUGAAGGACGAAGGUGCCAAGCAUUGUAAACUUCUUUUGUCAAGGGACAAAAUCAGGCUCGAGAGCCUGACCGAGGGUACGUGAAGAAAAAGCAUCGGCUAACUCCGUGCCAGCAGCCGCGGUAAGAAGGGGGAUGAGAGCGUUAUCCGGCUGUAUUGGGUGUAAAGGGUGAGUAGGCGAACUGUUAAGUCAGCGGUAAAAGGCCGGGGCUCAACCCCGGCGAGCCGUUGAAACGGGCUGUCUUGAGAUGUCGAGAGGUAUGCGGAAUGCGCAGUGUAGCGGUGAAAUGCUUAGAUAUUGCGCAGAACUCCGAUUGCGAAGGCAGCAUACCGGCGGCGAUCUGACGCUGAGGCACGAAAGCGUGGGUAUCGAACAGGAUUAGAUACCCGUGUAGUC